This is a long non-coding RNA of Cyprinus carpio carpio, 869 nucleotides long. Lineage: Eukaryota; Metazoa; Chordata; Actinopteri; Cypriniformes; Cyprinidae. The record is from Ensembl.
UAUAAUUCUGUCACAUGUCUGAUGAUGUAAACAUUGCCAAAUACAGCAUACAUUGCUUUAAAUGGCUUUUUUUAUUGACAGUUGUACAAGCUCACGGCCUAAAGGAAUAUUUGCUGUUGAUUUGAAACGGUCAAGUCCAUCUUUUGAUGUAUAAUUCAAGCGUGCUAAAUUAAUAAUGCUUAGCAUUUGUUAUUGGAGCACUGAAUCGCUGGCAGGAGGGCAGAACAGUGUUUGGCAGAGAUGACAGAGAUGAGUUUCACUGCUGCUGCUGCUGCUGCUGGCAAACGCUGAAUAAAACUGAUGUCAAUACAAUACGAUCCUCUCUCAGGGCCGCUUCAUCACCGCCAGCAAAUAACUUUCAUUUGCAAAUAUGCAUGGAUUUUUCAUCAACGUUUAUAAUAAGCAUGAUAGAAAAUGAAAGGAGUGACACAUAUUGCACAUUAUAAAUUGAUAGUUUUACUCUGAGAUUCACUUGAGAAGAAGAGAUCAUUUAUAUUUUAACUAGACAAGGAAAGUUUGACAAACACUCACCUGAAAGGGUUUAUAAAAGCUCUGUGGAGUGAAAACUUUUCCAAUAGCUGUUAAAGUGUUUUGGCUGGUUGCUAGGGUGCCGUUACCAAUUUGUUCUGCUUGGUUGCUAAGAAGUUUUAAAUGGUUGCUAGGCUACUUCUAAAGUAUUCUAAUUGGUUGCUAAGGUGUUGCCAGGCAGUUGCUAUGGUGGUUGCUAAGGUGUUGCUUAGCAGUUGCAAAAGUGUUCUAAAUGGAUCCUAGAGUGUUGAUAAGUGGUUGCUAUUGUGUUCAUGGAGGUUUCUAGGUAGUUGCUAGGGUUGUUGCUAAGGUGUUGCCAGGGAGUUGCUAGGGCAGUUGGU